Molecule: ribosomal RNA, 379 nt
Filed under: uncultured bacterium
Lineage: Bacteria
Description: bacterial SSU rRNA
Rfam family: Bacterial small subunit ribosomal RNA
Source: RNAcentral
UAAUACGUAGGGGGCGAGCGUUGUCCGGAUUUAUUGGGCGUAAAGAGCUCGUAGGCGGUUGCGGAAGUCGGGUGUGAAAUACCGGGGCUCAACUCCGGGGCGCCAUUCGAUACUCCGCUGACUCGAGUCCGGUAGGGGAAGGUGGAAUUCCUGGUGUAGCGGUGAAAUGCACAGAUAUCAGGAGGAACACCGGUGGCGAAGGCGGCCUUCUGGGCCGGUACUGACGCUGAGGAGCGAAAGCUAGGGGAGCGAACAGGAUUAGAUACCCUGGUAGUCCUAGCCGUAAACGAUGGGCACUAGGUGUGGGGGGCUAUCCACUCCCUCCGUGCCGAAGCUAACGCAUUAAGUGCCCCGCCUGGGGAGUACGGCCGCAAGGCUA